GCAGGAUACAGCAGGACCUGACUCUUCUGCAGGCUACAGACUGGACCUCAGGACACUUCAAUGAAUAUAUUUUUAAAAAACUAUCACAUAUUCUGGUGCUUAUGUUGUUUAUAGAAAAGCAAGUGUGUUGGAGAACAGAGGAAUUUUUUUCCACCCGGGACCCAAACAGACAUAGAGGAUGUUCCUUUUGCAGUGAUCAGGUAUCUGCAUCACGUUGGGAAGUCCAUCACCCACGAGAAAUGGAAACAGUGGCAGCCCUCAGGAAUGAGGGCAAAACCCUCUCCGAAGUCAGGCAACAAAACCAGAUGGAAAACCGUGAAGCCAAUAAUACAUUCACUCCCAGCCUUUGGUGUCCCACCAAGCAGCAGGGAGGGCUUUUUGCGGUAAAAGAAUGGCCUGUGGUGAGACUCCACAGAGAGCCCUGCAGACACUGGCCUUAGAGCACCAAAGAGAAAUGCACCAAGGGAAGCUUUGAGGUGAUCUCCAAGGCGCAGCUGCACCAGAAGUCACCAGAGCAGUGUUUCUACCUCCAACACACAUCUGUUUGUUUUCUGUUCUUUCAAUAAGAUUUUCUGUACAGCAUGAAAACAGAAUUGGAUACACAGUAUUUAAAUAUCGACAACGGGAGUUCAAUCUCUACCUCCAUGCAAAUAAACAACUUUUAAUGUUUGUUUUAAUGUCAAGAAUCCCCUUGGCGUGUAGAUGUUCCUUCCAGGGCAGCCCUGGGGAAGGUAAUCAUUUACAAAUGAAUAUUUUUGCUUCUAUCAUGUUAUUGUUCUGCCACUGCAUUCUCACAUUCAUUGGCUGAAGGCUCUGCAUCACACCCCAGGUUGCCUGCAGGGGUUUGCAUAUUGUGGUUUAUUUGGUUCCUGCUCUAACAAGGCUGAAAACUCCCUGGUAGCUGUUUCUCUAUGUGGAAACUGUUUCUUUAAUCAAACAGAUCAUCAACAUUGAGGUCAUGACGUAGGUAUCUUUGAGAACUAUCGUGCAUGAUCGAGAUGGGUUAGAAUUAAAAUCAGGGCUUGCUAGAUCAGCAAGCUGUGACCUUGCUUCCAAGGUCAGCAGGUCACAGAAAGAAAUCAUGUCUAUCACGCAACACUAAGCAGAAUACUGCUUCAUUUAGGCAAGAAAAUUGUCUAUGUGAAACUAAAACAGUGUGUAAUGGAAACUAAGCUUGAGAUUGUUGUAUGUGUUC
Molecule: long non-coding RNA, 1195 nt
Organism: Gallus gallus (chicken)
Lineage: Eukaryota; Metazoa; Chordata; Aves; Galliformes; Phasianidae
Source: Ensembl